The sequence is a non-coding RNA, 75 nucleotides long. It matches the Rfam family "c-di-GMP-I riboswitch aptamer". Rfam says of the family: GEMM was predicted in a large-scale screen for bacterial structured RNA regulatory elements.
GUAUGAUAAAGCCAAAACUGGAGUGAUCCAGUGACGGAAAGCUAUAGGGUCUCAUGAAGACAGCCAGUUACCUAA